GCGACACCCCGGGCCGUGGGGCCCCGGCUCUGCCAUUGCCGGCCAGGUGCAGCCUCCUGCCGCUCCGGCGCCUGGAAGCUCAGCGCCCCGCCGCCCCUGCGGAGCCAGGCCAGCGCGGCCUCUGGGCUGGGAGAGGUCAGCGCCGACACCGGCAGCCUCCGGUGGGUGGUUGGCAGCAGGCGCCUCUCCCGGCAGUAGCUGCAGGCAAGGAAGGCCGGAGUUAGUUACAAUUAACCGUCCCCGCGUUUGCCGCUAGGAAGGAAGCUAAGGGGCAGGAGGGGGGAGUUGCCACUUCAUCUUUAAGCAACACAUUGAAAGAAAUCUUCCCUCAAGACUGCGCAGCCCACAACCUUGAUCCAGUCUUCCCAAAGAGCCACUCCCUGCACCUCUCUAUAUCCAGGUUGGAUGACAACUAAGCAGAACCCACUGAACCAUUUCCCAGAAGACUCAACAUAUCCUAAAAGGCAGACUUGCAGAGAAGCAGAUGGACACUGCAAGGGCUGGGCCCGCUCUGCUCUUUGGUGGGCUCAGGGGACAAAAGCACCUAGCAUGCAGAUGUGCCCCAGCAGAUCCUGCUGGCCAAAAGAAUCCAAUCUAAGACAUAUGGGAUGCAUGUGCAACAAGAGUGCAAUCCAUGUAGACAAUCACUCGAAGAAGAAAAACAUCAUAUAUUUUUGCAAA
Long non-coding RNA from Terrapene triunguis (Three-toed box turtle), 681 nucleotides. RefSeq lists it as uncharacterized. The transcript has 3 exons. The record is from RefSeq and is a predicted model, not a curated record. Lineage: Eukaryota; Metazoa; Chordata; Testudines; Emydidae.